This 301-nucleotide ribosomal RNA is filed under the name uncultured bacterium. RNAcentral's name for it is "partial 16S ribosomal RNA". It matches the Rfam family "Bacterial small subunit ribosomal RNA", at positions 509 to 808 of the family's 1533-position model. The record is from RNAcentral.
CAGUAGCCGCGGUAAAACGUAGGUGGCAAGCGUUGUCCGGAAUUAUUGGGCGUAAAGCGCGCGCAGGCGGUUUUUUAAGUCUGGUGUCUAAGUGCGGGGCUCAACCCCGUGACGCACUGGAAACUGGGAGACUUGAGUGCAGAAGAGGAGAGCGGAAUUCCACGUGUAGCGGUGAAAUGCGUAGAGAUGUGGAGGAACACCAGUGGCGAAGGCGGCUCUCUGGACUGUAACUGACGCUGAGGCGCGAAAGCGUGGGGAGCAAACAGGAUUAGAUACCCGGGUAGUCCCUGUCUCUUAUACA